AGAGCGAACGCUGGCGGCAGGCCUAAUACAUGCAAGUCGAACGCACCUUCGGGUGAGUGGCGGACGGGUGAGUAACACGUGGGAACGUGCCCUUUGGUUCGGAAUAAUCCGGGGAAACCUGGCCUAAUACCGAAUGUGCCCCCUCCUUUAACCAGGGGGUGGGAAAGAUUUAUCGCCAUUGGAGCGGCCCGCGUCUGAUUAGCUAGUUGGUGAGGUAAAGGCCCACCAAGGCUACGAUCAGUAGCUGGUCUGAGAGGAUGAUCAGCCACACUGGGACUGAGACACGGCCCAGACUCCUACGGGAGGCAGCAGUAGGGAAUCUUGCGCAAUGGGCGAAAGCCUGACGCAGCCAUGCCGCGUGAAUGAUGAAGGUCUUAGGAUUGUAAAAUUCUUUCAGCGGGAAGAUAAUGACGGUACCCGCAGAAGAAGCUCCGGCUAACUUCGCGCCAGCAGCCGC
This 457-nucleotide ribosomal RNA is filed under the name uncultured bacterium. RNAcentral describes it as "SSU rRNA". It matches the Rfam family "Bacterial small subunit ribosomal RNA", at positions 26 to 518 of the family's 1533-position model. The record is from RNAcentral.